AUUGAACGCUGGCGGCAUGCUUUACACAUGCAAGUCGAACGGUAACAGGCCUUCGGGUGCUGACGAGUGGCGAACGGGUGAGUAAUGCAUCGGAACGUGCCCAGAGGUGGGGGAUAACGCAGCGAAAGCUGUGCUAAUACCGCAUGUGAUCUGAGGAUGAAAGCGGGGGACCAGGCAGCAAUGUUUGGCCUCGCGCCUUUGGAGCGGCCGAUGUCAGAUUAGGUAGUUGGUGGGGUAAAGGCCUACCAAGCCGACGAUCUGUAGCUGGUCUGAGAGGACGACCAGCCACACGGGGACUGAGACACGGCCCAGACUCCUACGGGAGGCAGCAGUGGGGAAUUUUGGACAAUGGGCGCAAGCCUGAUCCAGCAAUGCCGCGUGCGGGAAGAAGGCCUUCGGGUUGUAAACCGCUUUUGUACGGAACGAAAAGGCUCUGGCUAAUACCUGGGGCUGAUGACGGUACCGUAAGAAUAAGCACCGGCUAACUACGUG
Molecule: ribosomal RNA, 492 nt
Filed under: uncultured bacterium
Lineage: Bacteria
Description: partial 16S ribosomal RNA
Rfam family: Bacterial small subunit ribosomal RNA
Source: RNAcentral